UACGUAGGGUGCAAGCGUUGUCCGGAAUUAUUGGGCGUAAAGAGCUCGUAGGCGGUCUGUCGCGUCUGCUGUGAAAACUCAGGGCUUAACCCUGAGCUUGCAGUGGGUACGGGCAGACUAGAGUGCGGUAGGGGAGACUGGAAUUCCUGGUGUAGCGGUGAAAUGCGCAGAUAUCAGGAGGAACACCGGUGGCGAAGGCGGAUCUCUGGGCCAUUACUGACGCUGGAGGAGCGAAAGCGUCGGGGAGCGAACAGG
Molecule: ribosomal RNA, 255 nt
Filed under: uncultured bacterium
Lineage: Bacteria
Description: partial 16S ribosomal RNA
Rfam family: Bacterial small subunit ribosomal RNA
Source: RNAcentral